GAUGAACGCUGGCGGCGUGCCUAAUACAUGCAAGUCGAGCGAACGGACGAGAAGCUUGCUUCUCUGAUGUUAGCGGCGGACGGGUGAGUAACACGUGGAUAACCUACCUAUAAGACUGGGAUAACUUCGGGAAACCGUAGCUAAUACCGGAUAAUAUUUUGAACCGCAUGGUUCAAAAGUGAAAGACGGUCUUGCUGUCACUUAUAGAUGGAUCCGCGCUGCAUUAGCUAGUUGGUAAGGUAACGGCUUACCAAGGCAACGAUGCAUAGCCGACCUGAGAGGGUGAUCGGCCACACUGGAACUGAGACACGGUCCAGACUCCUACGGGAGGCAGCAGUAGGGAAUCUUCCGCAAAGGGCGAAAGCCUGACGGAGCAACGCCGCGUGAGUGAUGAAGGUCUUCGGAUCGUAAAACUCUGUUAUUAGGGAAGAACAUAUGUGAAAGUAACUGUGCACAUCUUGACGGUACCUAAUCAGAAAGCCACGGCUAACUACGUG
Molecule: ribosomal RNA, 497 nt
Filed under: uncultured bacterium
Lineage: Bacteria
Description: partial 16S ribosomal RNA
Rfam family: Bacterial small subunit ribosomal RNA
Source: RNAcentral